RNAcentral lists this ribosomal RNA (348 nucleotides) under Triticum aestivum (bread wheat). RNAcentral describes it as "partial small subunit ribosomal RNA". The record is from RNAcentral. Lineage: Eukaryota; Viridiplantae; Streptophyta; Magnoliopsida; Poales; Poaceae.
AUGACAUCGCUGCUGAAGCCACCGAACACCAUUGUUCGGACAGUCUCGGAUCUUAUAGAUCCCGAGAACUGGUCAUGGAGGCAGGAGUUGAUUCGAACCACCUUCAUUGCCCCUGAUGCUGAUGCCAUUCUAAACAUCCCAAUCAGGAGGGGCGGAGGUGAGGAUUUCUAUGCUUGGGCCUUUGAAAGAUCAUGCAACUACACUGUUAAGUCGGCAUACGGUGCUCUAGUGACUCAGAACGAGCGCAAUGCUCUAGAGGAAGGGGCGGCUACCGGUGCUUCAAGAGAUGACAAACAGAUGUGGUCUGCUCUGUGGAAACUCAAAGUGAUCCCAAAGGUACGAGUGUUC